Molecule: non-coding RNA, 3445 nt
Organism: Musa acuminata subsp. malaccensis (wild Malaysian banana)
Lineage: Eukaryota; Viridiplantae; Streptophyta; Magnoliopsida; Zingiberales; Musaceae
Source: RefSeq, a predicted model, not a curated record
CUGGGAACAGAAGGGUAGCCGAUUAGGGUUUGGUGGAGCAGAGAAGACAACGAAGAGUACCUCUGCCUCUUGCCUCCGCUAUCAUUCGUGGAUUCAAUGUUGGCUUGGUGACUCGAUCGAAGAUGGAGACCCAAUGGAUCGCCGAGCUACCGCACGCGGCCACGGACAAGCGCCCGCGGAAGAGGCCCAGGCUCGCGUGGGAUGUGCCCCCUCCGAUUCCCCCUUCCAUGGUUCCUCUGACGCUAUACUGUGGGAUGGAAGCUGCACAAAUGGCUACUAUGAACCAGCACUUGCAAUCAUUCUACUACGGUGGAGUACCUCGAUAUUGUUCUCCUCCUUGGAGGGGUGACGACAAAGAUGGUCAUUAUAUUUUUGGCAUCGGCGAGAAUCUAACACCAAGAUAUAGGAUACUGAACAAAAUGGGUGAAGGAACAUUUGGACAAGUCCUGGAAUGCUGGGACCUGGAAAAUAAAGAACCAGUGGCUAUCAAAAUUGUGCGUUCUCUCCAGAAAUAUCGUGAGGCUGCAAUGAUCGAGAUUGAUGUACUUCAAAGGCUUGCAAAAGCUGACAGAAGUGGCACUCGUUGUGUGCAAAUACGGAAUUGGUUCGACUAUCGCAACCAUAUAUGUAUAGUCUUUGAGAAACUUGGACCAAGCUUAUAUGACUUUCUUCGGAGAAACAGCUACCGCUCUUUCCCCAUCGACUUAGUCCGCGAACUUGCCGGGCAGCUUCUGGAGUCUGUUGCAUUUAUGCAUGACUUGCGGUUAAUUCAUACUGAUCUGAAGCCAGAGAAUAUUCUUCUCGUCUCCUCUGAAUAUAUAAAGGUUCCUGAUCACAAGUUUCUAUCACGAUCAGCCAAGGAUGGUUCACUUUUCAAGAAUCUGCCAAAAUCUAGUGCUAUCAAGUUAAUUGACUUUGGAAGCACGACAUUUGAACACCAGGACCACAGUUACGUAGUUUCAACAAGGCAUUAUCGUGCACCUGAGGUUAUUCUUGGACUUGGGUGGAACUAUCCCUGUGAUAUGUGGAGUGUGGGUUGUAUUCUUGUUGAGCUUUGCUCGGGUGAGGCACUCUUUCAAACUCAUGAAAAUUUGGAGCAUUUAGCUAUGAUGGAAAAGGUGUUAGGACCACUUCCACAGCACAUGAUUGUUAGAGCUAAUGUCCAUAAUAGCCAGCGUGCGGAGAAAUAUUUCAGGCAAGGUCGAGGAUUGCGAUUAGACUGGCCCGAAGGGGCAACCUCAAGGGAAAGCAUCAGAGCAGUUUGGAGAUUGCCUCGCCUUCAGAAUCUGGUUAUGCAACAUGUUGAUCACUCUGCUGGUGAUUUAAUUGAUCUUCUGCAAGGGCUUCUCCAUUAUGAUCCGGCUCAGCGUCUAAAAGCCCGAGAAGCCCUUAGACACCCCUUUUUCACCAGAGAUCUGAGAAGAUGUGGUUACUCUUUGAACUAAGGGCUUUACUCUUCUUUCUUAAGUCAAGUUUGUAAGGGAAUUGUAAAAAAUCUCAGGGUUUUUCUUCUCUUGCAGAGUUUCAGAUGAACAGGCAGCAAAUUCUGUGUACACAAUUUAGGGCACAUAUCAGACGGAAGUUUGGAUGCAAGUUCUAAAACAUGGUCAUGGCUUCGUGUUUUGUUUGUUGGGUUUAACUUUAGCUCAGUGUUCGUAGCAUCCCUCUAUUGGAUCAACCAACCAUUGGCUCAAGCAGGUAUUGAACGAUCCACUCAUUCUUCUUUUGGGGCCACCGUAUGUAUUCUCAUCUUUAAUAUGUCAAUUGAGAGUCAAUUUGAUUUGUUUUGUUUUGGGAUUGGAAUGUUAUUUCUACAAAGAACUUGUUUUCAUUCUCGUCUAACAUUUAGUGCUUGAAGGUAUUAAUUAGAAUUUGCUUUUGGUAUAUUGUUUGCUACUUCUGCGAAAUUUCUAAUAAGCAUCGUUAAAUCAUUUAGCUUGUCAUACUAUACUAAUGAUACUAAGCUGAGGUGUAAGACUAUUUACUUGGUGUGAUAGUAGUCUUCUAUCAACAUAUUUUUUUCAAAUAUAAUUUGAUUUCAAUCACAAUAUUCGUUGCUUAGUAAUUCUUUAGUCUUACUCUUAAAUAGUUAAUAUUAUUUUUCACCUUAAGUUUGUACCAAUUAUACUGUCUUCCUCCAAUGAUAUACAUGUGAUGCAUUGGAUAAUUUGCCGGUCUUAUGGAAGCAUAUAUUGUGUUCUCCUGAAACUGAAUGAAACAAAAUUUUGCUGUUUAGUGCACGGUAAGUUGCCUUGUUCUGUUAUUAUCUAUUGCAGAUUCUAUAUAAUAGAAGGCUCAACAUUUAAACAAAUUUAUUUUGAUAUCAGAUUCCAGAUUCUCUUUAUUUUCCGUCAUCAUGAAUGAUGAGUUUUGCUGGCCUGAUAGUAGGGCAAAUGCCGCUGGCUUUUCUUUUAGAUACUUCUUCCUAACUCAUCUUGGUUGCGGGUGGUAUGGUGAUGGAUUGCAUAGUUCUGAUGUUCCUUUUCAGCAAGAGCAUGAAGGAACUAAAGAGGAUUAAAUUUGUGUUUUAGACUUUACAAUGACUAAUGCUGAUUGAGAUUUUAUGUUCACCUGCAUUUACACACGUCUAUUUGUUUUUUCUUCCUAUAAGAGAAGGGUCUUGCGGAGGCAUACUGGAUGCAAAAGGUAAACCUCACUAAUUGAAGUUCUUCGUCAAACAAUUAUCGUGUACCGCAUUAGAGAUUUUGCAAGUUGUGUUUUUUUUGGCUCUUUUUUUUUUCUCGGUUGAACAAAAAUGGUGUGAUUGUGUUACACUUAUCGUCGAGGAGGUUAUUUCUUCAGUAAGAAAACUGAUACUAAGAUAAAGAUAUUUUCUCUUCGAAAGAUCCUUUGUUUCCUUUUUUUUUUUUUUUUUCUGAAUCGUAAAUUAAUUUUAUUCUCUCCUUUGCCUAUCCAAUUCAGUGUCCAUAACCAUAAGAAGCCUGAUGAUGACAAAUUCGAACUUAUCAUGAAUUUGGAUACAGAUCCUGUGGCUACACUAGAUACUGAUCUGAGUUUUAUAAACUGAUAUGAAGUUGUUUGAUACCUAAAUUCUGCAUUGUCUCCUCACAGGCCAGCCAAAGAUUAGCCAAGACAACAACUGGGGCUUUGUAUGAGUUCAUAACAGGCUCAGUAUAACUGGUCAAAGGAAGAACCUGAUACAGAGAAAAUUGAACCAACAAAGGAUGUAACUUACAAGCUUCAAGGCAAGGGUGAGUUUUCUUGGGCCAUGAUUUCUCUUCCGUAGAAUGUGACUCGCUGGAAUUAUUGACAUGUCCAGAUAUACUUGUGUAAGUAUAAUACCUCAUAGAUUUAUGUUUGCGGCCUUCGACUGUUGACAUCCCUAUAAGUGUCUCAACGUGUGUUUGAUUGUUCUUCUGGUGUAAGUUUUCUCCAUUUAGAGAUGACGAUAUGCACUGGAAUCGAUGCAUUAUACUUAUUAUAA